This 200-nucleotide ribosomal RNA is filed under the name uncultured bacterium. RNAcentral's name for it is "partial 16S ribosomal RNA". It matches the Rfam family "Bacterial small subunit ribosomal RNA", at positions 29 to 257 of the family's 1533-position model. The record is from RNAcentral.
AACGAACGCUGGCGGCAGGCUUAACACAUGCAAGUCGAGCGCCCCGCAAGGGGAGCGGCAGACGGGUGAGUAACGCGUGGGAAUCUACCCUUUUCUACGGAAUAACGCAGGGAAACUUGUGCUAAUACCGUAUGAGCCCUUCGGGGGAAAGAUUUUAUCGGGAAAGGAUGAGCCCGCGUUGGAUUAGCUAGUUGGUGGGG